This is a long non-coding RNA of Carassius gibelio (silver crucian carp), 2284 nucleotides long. RefSeq lists it as uncharacterized. The record is from RefSeq and is a predicted model, not a curated record. The transcript has 2 exons. NCBI's taxonomy places the organism in Eukaryota, Metazoa, Chordata, Actinopteri, Cypriniformes, Cyprinidae.
AUUGUGACAGAAAAGCUUAUUUUAGAUUUAAUUUAGUAUCGGUGUAUUGGGUAUAAUGACACUGAAUCAGGUUUUGUAGAAAACCCAAGAGAGGACUACGCACUCCCCUUCCCAGAAAAUUUAAUUUGGACCAGACUCAAAAACCGAUAGAACCUCGUGGACUUGUUUACAUUGGAUGGCAAAGAUGGGCCACCGCCACGGGGCUGUCUAUUCAUUAAUUUCUAGCAGAUUUUGGUCUAAAUUAGUGAUAUGCAUUUCAUACUGCUCGCUUUCAAAGAAAGUCUCGUGCGGCCAUAAGAAACGUGAUAGCCAGUGGAAAGGCAUUCACUCACUCAGAGGAGUCGAAGCAAUUUCAAAUGUUCAAGCCUUCAACUUUUGAAGUUUAAUGCUUUUUUUUUUUAUCUGAAAAGUAGGCUGUUUAUUAUUUAUUUGUUUAUGUAACAAGGUCCCCGUGUUCCCUGCUGGGGAGAUCAUUUGUUUUCUGUGCAAGUAGAGAGGGAAAAAUCCCCAAGUAUAACAAGAGACGAACAGUUAGUGCUGAUUUUCAUUUGCAUAAAUUUUCAUAUAUUUUAGUGAAAAUAAUAGCGGUGCAGAGGAGAGCUCCGCUCAGUUGAGUCAGAGGGAAGAAAAUCUUAGGAAGGACCGAAACGGAGGAAGAGAGUCGGUCACUGAUGGACGAACAAUGCAGUAUUUCAGACAUUUUUCCAGUUAUCGUGGAAUCUUACGGAGAGGAACUUCAACUCUCCCACCUUCCCUCCCUUCUCCAGGGAGAGGGGCCUCCAUCCACAUUGGACUCAGACUCAAUGUGCUGCAGAGGGACAGAGUGGCCACGCUGUGAGCGGAGACACACACACACACACACACACACACAGAGAGAGAGAGAGAUCUCACUGCUUCCGUUUUCAGCUUACACUGCUGCUGGAGCUGUUAGCCUGCCGGCUAUUUUUCUUUGAGAGACUAUAAAAAUAUGCAAAUGCUGUUGUUAAAGAGAACAGUCAAAUGUUUUUCUUCUUCUGUGUUUGCACCUUGUGAGUCUGCAGAGCAAAAUGCGUAAGGAUUUCACUUUUGUCCCUCACUUUUUUUUAUAGAAAGACAGGAAAAAUUAAAGGAGAGCAUCAGCGACAGACACAUCAUAAACAUGUUUGAAAUGACCAAGCAGAUAGGGAAGAAUAAAAUAAAUCUUACAAAUAUCCUGCUUCACUUGAACUGUAUCUGCAGAGUGAGCGAAUUUUAAAAUGCUUUCCUUUUCUUUACCUCUCAUCAUGGCGGACAGGCCUUAAACACAGAGCAUCAACUGCUUUAAGAGUGAAGGGAAAGUACAGGGCGAAUUUGUAAACCCCUCACGGUGCCGCGAACACUUUUUGAAGUGAUUAUGAAGACAGUUCAGAUCAAAGGCUUUGACAACUCUGAGUGCCCGCCAAGACUGAGCCCCUGUAAUCGCACAGAGCCCUCCGUACAACACAGCGCACACCCCUCAAGCACCCGGCAGAACGCAACGCCACACUCACGCAUAAACAGAUUAUCAGGGGACAGAAAACGGCUGGAAAGUAAAUAUGGGAUUAGAGUUUUCAGACUGAACUGCACCGAUAUAACCGAGGAGAUUAGCGAAACAUUUACAGGUAGAUAUUAAUUAUCGGCAUCACAGGAAGAAGAGGGAAAAAUAGUGAAUUAAAAACUCCAUGCAUAUGUUAUAAUAUAAAUAUCCUCAUUAUAUUUAAUAUUUUCCAUUGCAUUCAACAUAUCACAUGUAUUAAAUUAACUGCCAUAAUUUUCUAAAUCCUUUACAAAGAAACCAUAAGAGGCAGGAAAAAAGAGAGGGAGAAAAGGAGAGCGGGCAUAAAAAGUGCUUUGUUGAAGUCAACAAACUCUUAUAUUUUUAUAUAAUUAUGUGCUCUGCUGCGCGUAACUGCUAGGCAGCAUUGUAACAAAUGUCCAUCAUUGGCUCCAUUAGCCCUGAAGACAGACGGCCAAUACAUUUAGCUCAGUAUUUUGCUAACACUAUAAGAAAACACAAUGGCACCAAACAAAACAACAACAUUUAUAGUGAUUUUAUUAUCUAAGCAUCCAAGCUGUAUCGUAGAAUUUGAAAAAUAUAUUUUGUCACGCACAUAUGCACACACACUGUAAGUCAUGUGGUAAUAUGUUAACAGGCUGCCAUCUUGAACCUGCUCAUCAUGUUGUGGUUUGGUCAUUUAACUGAAAGUUUUGCUUUUGUCAGUGUAUUUACUGUUUUGUGGUACCGCACUGGUGCUGAUGUGAAACAAUAAAAUGUGUGUGACAGCAA